Sinocyclocheilus anshuiensis is the source of this 373-nucleotide long non-coding RNA. RefSeq lists it as uncharacterized. The record is from RefSeq and is a predicted model, not a curated record. The transcript is spliced from 4 exons. Lineage: Eukaryota; Metazoa; Chordata; Actinopteri; Cypriniformes; Cyprinidae.
CUCUGCAAAUUUCUUAGAAAGUUUUCGAGCCCAACUGUUCCCAGAAUCCAUUUGUAGAAGCAGAAGAGUGACAUAACAGUGGCACAACUGUGAGCACAGUGUGAAAGUGUUCUUGUAUCCCAGAGGAUGGCUAACCCAAGACAGGAACCGCAUCAGAACGCAACACUCUUAAAAGAUCUAAUCCCCAACAGCGGGGGUCUUGUACAAUCCACUAGGAUGUGAGGAGGUCUGUCUAGAAAGAGAUAAGACUAUGUGUAAACCUUUUCUUCUAAUGAUGUUCAGUGUGGGACCACAACUUCAAAUGAUCUGCCAUCAUUUAUGAAUCUGUUAAAAAAACUGCAAGAAUAUCAGUUCUAAGAGUUCUUCUAAUUCU